RNAcentral lists this ribosomal RNA (440 nucleotides) under uncultured bacterium. RNAcentral's name for it is "partial 16S ribosomal RNA". It matches the Rfam family "Bacterial small subunit ribosomal RNA", at positions 338 to 795 of the family's 1533-position model. The record is from RNAcentral.
CCUACGGGAGGCAGCAGUGGGGAAUAUUGCACAAUGGGGGAAACCCUGAUGCAGCGACGCCGCGUGAGUGAAGAAGUAUUUCGGUAUGUAAAGCUCUAUCAGCAGGGAAGAAAAUGACGGUACCUGCUUAAGAAGCCCCGGCCAACUACGUGCCAGCAGCCGCGGUAAUACGUAGGGGGCACGCGUUAUCCGGAUUUACUGGGUGUAAAGGGAGCGUAGGCGGCAGCACAAGUCUGGAGUGAAAUGCCGGGGCUUAACCCCGGAGCUGCUGUGGAAACUGUGCAGCUAGAGUGCAGGUGAGGUAAGUGGAAUUCCUGGGGUAGCGGUGAAAUGCGUAGAUAUUAGGAGGAACACCAGUGGCGAAGGCGGCUUACUGGACUGUAACUGACGUUGAGGCUCGAAAGCGUGGGGAGCAAACAGGAUUAGAUACCCUGGUAGUC